UGUGUAGGCGGACCGUUAAGUGCUUUGUGAAAUCCCCCGGCUCAACCGGGGAACUGCUUGGCAUACUGGCGGUCUUGAGCUGCCUAGGGGCGACUGGAACAAACGGUGGAGCGGUGAAAUGCGUAGAUAUCGUUUGGAACGCCAACGGUGAAAACAGGUCGCUGGGGGCAAGCUGACGCUGAGACACGAAAGCCAGGGGAGCAAACGGGAUUAGAUACCCCGGUAGUCCUGGCCCUAAACGAUGUCCACUAGAUCCUGGCGUCUCUGACGGCGUCAGGGUCGAAGCAAAAGUGCUAAGUGGACCGCCUGGGAAGUACGGUCGCAAGGCUAAA
RNAcentral lists this ribosomal RNA (332 nucleotides) under uncultured bacterium. Its description in RNAcentral is "bacterial SSU rRNA". It matches the Rfam family "Bacterial small subunit ribosomal RNA", at positions 568 to 898 of the family's 1533-position model. The record is from RNAcentral.